Molecule: ribosomal RNA, 432 nt
Filed under: uncultured bacterium
Lineage: Bacteria
Description: bacterial SSU rRNA
Rfam family: Bacterial small subunit ribosomal RNA
Source: RNAcentral
UGAGGAAUAUUGGUCAAUGGGCGGGAGCCUGAACCAGCCAAGUCGCGUGAGGGAAGACGGUACUGAGUAUUGUAAACCUCUUUUGUCAGGGAGCAAAGGCGGCCAUGCGUGGCCGAUUGAGCGUACCUGAAGAAAAAGCAUCGGCUAACUCCGUGCCAGCAGCCGCGGUAAUACGGAGGAUGCGAGCGUUAUCCGGAUUUAUUGGGUUUAAAGGGUGCGCAGGCGGACCGUCAAGUCAGCGGUAAAAUGUCGGGGCUCAACCCCGGCCGGCCGUUGAAACUGGCGGACUUGAGUUGGAGAGAAGUAUGCGGAAUUCGUGGUGUAGCGGUGAAAUGCAUAGAUAUCACGAAGAACUCCGAUUGCGAAGGCAGCAUACCGGCUCCACACUGACGCUGAGGCACGAAAGCGUGGGGAGCAAACAGGAUUAGAACC